This 484-nucleotide ribosomal RNA is filed under the name uncultured bacterium. RNAcentral describes it as "partial 16S ribosomal RNA". It matches the Rfam family "Bacterial small subunit ribosomal RNA", at positions 29 to 523 of the family's 1533-position model. The record is from RNAcentral.
AGUGAAAGCUGGCGGGGUGCUUAACACAUGCAAGUCGAACGAGAACGGGUUAUAACUUGUUAUAACUGUCAGCUAAGUGGCGCACGGGUGAGUAAUGUAUAGGUAAUAUGCCUCUUAUUAAGGGAUAACAAAUUGAAACGUUUGCUAAUACCUUAUACUCUUUAUUAACCUAAGUUAAUAAGGGAAAGUUUUAUUGGUAAGAGAUUAGCCUGUAUUGUAUCAGUUAGUUGGUGGGGUAAUGGCUUACCAAGACGAUGACACAUAACUGGUUUGAGAGGAUGAUCAGUCACACUGGAACUGAGACACGGUCCAGACUCCGACGGGAGGCAGCAGUGGGGAAUAUUGCACAAUGGACGAAAGUCUGAUGCAGCAACGCCGCGUGGAGGAUGACACAUUUCGGUGCGUAACCUCCUUUUAUAUGAGAAGAUAAUGACGGUAUUAUAUGAAUAAGCCCCGGCUAACUCCGUGCCAGCAGCCGCCGUAA